CCUACGGGAGGCUGCAGUGAGGAAUAUUGGUCAAUGGGCGAGAGCCUGAACCAGCCAAGUCGCGUGAAGGAUGAAGGCUCUAUGGUUUGUAAACUUCUUUUAUAUGGGAAUAAAGUGUUGCACGUGUUCCUUUUUGUAUGUACCAUAUGAAUAAGCAUCGGCUAACUCCGUGCCAGCAGCCGCGGUAAUACGGAGGAUGCGAGCGUUAUCCGGAUUUAUUGGGUUUAAAGGGUGCGUAGGUGGUUAAUUAAGUCAGCGGUGAAAGUUUGUGGCUCAACCAUAAAAUUGCCGUUGAAACUGGUAGACUUGAGUAUAUUUGAGGUGGGCGGAAUUCGUGGUGUAGCGGUGAAAUGCUUAGAUAUCACGAAGAACUCCGAUUGCGAAGGCAGCUUACUAAACUGCAACUGACAUUGAGGCUCGAAAGUGUGGGUAUCAAACAGGAUUAGAUACCCCAGUAGUC
RNAcentral lists this ribosomal RNA (460 nucleotides) under uncultured bacterium. RNAcentral describes it as "partial 16S ribosomal RNA". It matches the Rfam family "Bacterial small subunit ribosomal RNA", at positions 338 to 795 of the family's 1533-position model. The record is from RNAcentral.